GACGAACGCUGGCGGCGUGCUUAACACAUGCAAGUCGAACGGAAAGGCCCUGCUUUUGUGGGGUGCUCGAGUGGCGAACGGGUGAGUAACACGUGAGUAACCUGCCUUUGACUUUGGGAUAACUUCAGGAAACUGGGGCUAAUACCGGAUAGGAGCUCCUGCUGCAUGGUGGGGGUCGGAAAGUUUCGGCGGUUGGGGAUGGACUCGCGGCUUAUUAGCUUGUUGGUGGGGUAGUGGCUUACCAAGGCUUUGACGGGUAGCCGGCCUGAGAGGGGGACCGGCGACAUUAGGACUGAGAUACGGCCCAGACUCCUACGGGAGGCAGCAGUGGGGAAUAUUGCACAAUGGGCGGAAGCCUGAUGAAGAGACGCCGCGUGCGGGAUGACGGCCUUCGGGUGGUAAACCGCUUUCGCCUGUGACGAAGCGUGAGUGACGGUAAUGGGUAAAGAAGCACCGGCUAACUACGUG
This 468-nucleotide ribosomal RNA is filed under the name uncultured bacterium. RNAcentral describes it as "partial 16S ribosomal RNA". It matches the Rfam family "Bacterial small subunit ribosomal RNA", at positions 28 to 507 of the family's 1533-position model. The record is from RNAcentral.